Molecule: ribosomal RNA, 2010 nt
Filed under: Nothogenia fastigiata
Lineage: Eukaryota; Rhodophyta; Florideophyceae; Nemaliales; Scinaiaceae
Description: eukaryotic LSU rRNA
Rfam family: Eukaryotic large subunit ribosomal RNA
Source: RNAcentral
CGGAGGAAAAGAAACUAACAAGGAUUCCCCUAGUAGCGGCGAGCGAAGCGGGAACAGCCCGGUGUGAAAAUCUCUUCGGAGAAUUGUAUUCGAGUGUUCCUUGGGUGGUCAGUGCGGGCAAGUCGCUUGGAAUGGCGCGCCAUGGAGGGUGAGAGCCCCGUCCAUCCCGCACAGGAUCCAUCCGCACAAGGACGCUUCAACCGAGUCGGGUAGCUUGGGAAUGCUGCUCUAAUUGGUGGUAAAUCUCAUCAAAGGCUAAAUAGUGGUGGGAGACCGAUAGCGAACAAGUACCGUGAGGGAAAGAUGGAAAGUACUUUGAAAAGAGAGUGAAAAGAACUUGAAACCGUCACGGGGGAAGCGAAUUGCGUGAGUGCUGGUGUCGCUUGUUCAGCGCCCCUUUUUUUUUUAAGCGGGCGUGCAUUCUGGCGGCACCUUGUCGUUGUGGCUGGCUGGCGUGUGAUUUUGACACGCUCGGCUGGUGAGGGCUCCCUUUUUUUCUAGGUGAGGACAACGACGAAAUGACGCAAUACGACCCGUCUUGAAACACGGACCAAGGAGUCUAGCACGGCUGCGAGUCGAAGGGUGUAAAACCCAAGGGCGCAGUGAAAGCGAAAUUAUAAGCAAGUUGGGGAGGCGUUGCGUUUUUAACAAAAUGUCCUACCUUGAGCACUUGUGCUGGGACCCGAAAGAUGGUGAACUAUGCCGGAGUAGGGCAAAGCCAGAGGAAACUCUGGUGGAGGCUCGUAGCGAUGCUGACGUGCAAAUCGCUCGUCGAACUUGGGUAUAGGGGCGAAAGACUAAUCGAACCAUCUAGUAGCUGGUUCCCUCCGAAGUUUCUCUCAGGAUAGCGGGCCGACAUUAUGUUGUUUUGUGCGGUAAAGCGAAUGAUUAGUGCAUUUGGGGUCCGAAGGACUUCAGGCGAUUCUCAAACUUUAAAUGCGCAAGGGGGUGGCUGCUUAAUUGAGCCUACUCUUCGAAAAACGUCGGCCCUGUGGGCCACUUUUGGUAAGCAGAACUGGCGAUAAGGGAUGAACCUUAAGCGCGGUUAAGGCGCCGCAUUGCCCGCUUAUAGACCCCACAAAAGGUGUUGAUUCAUUUAGACAGCAGGACGGUGGCCAUGGAAGUCGGAAUCCGCUAAGGAGUGUGUAACAACUCACCUGCCGAAUGAAUUAGCCCUGAAAAUGGAUGGCGCUCAAGCGGGCAGCCGACACCGCGCCGUUCCGGCGAGACGAUGCCGGGAUGAGUAGGAGGGCGUGGCGGUCAGUGACGCAGGCGAGGGUGCAGACCCCGCUGAAACGGCCGCUAGUGCAGAUCUUGGUGGUAGUAGCAAAUAUUCAAGCGAGAUCCUUGAAGGGCGAAGCGGGGAAGGGUUCCACGCAAACAUUGAUUGGGCGUGGGUGAGUCGUUCCUAAGCCGAGUGGCAAUUGCUAAGUAGCGGCGAAAGGGAAGCGGGUUAAAAUUCCCGCACACGGAUAUGGAGGCGGCGACGCAAGCAGAGCUGAAUACGCUGGCGAGGGCGCCGGGCAGAGUUAUCUUUUCUGUUUGACCGGCAUCGCGCAGUGUGGAAUCCGCUUAUCGGGAGAAACACGCGCGGGGAGGGGCAGAGCGUCAGGUCUUUUCUGGCGUCCGGCUCGCCCUCGACGGCCCCUGAAAAUUCAGCCGCGAACUUAAUUUCAUGCUGUGACGUACCGAUAACCGCAUCAGGUCCCCAAGGUGAACAGCCUCUGCUCAAUAUGAACAAUGCAGGUAAGGGAAGUCGGCAAAAUAGACCCGUAACUUUGGGAAAAGGGUUGGCUCUAGUGGAGCGGGGGUUUUCAAAGGGGGCUCACCUGUGCUUGCCGCUGGGCGAUUGUGGCUAGCUUUUAUGCUGGACGCUUUUGCUCGGUGUCUUGCGCGGGGGACGCUACUCGCCCUCAGCAUGCUCCAGACUAGAACUGCAACGGGCAAAGGGAAUCCGACUGUUUAAUUAAAACAAAGCAUUGCGAAGGCCGUGGCCGGUGAUGACGCAAU